GGUUUUUCUAAGCCACUCAUUUUUCAAGAAGUAAUUCCUUUGUCCUUUAGGAAGGAUAAAGUCGUUUUUUAUCUCAUUGUGUUUAUCCCAAACCCUUAUCACCAAGGGCUUUGUAAAUUAUGCCUGCUAUUCCUUAGCUUCCGGGUAUAAUUAGUGCCCAUUGUAAUCAUACAACUGACCAAUCAUGGGCGCCCUCAAGGGGGCCAAGGCUAGAAGGGAGACUAUUCAUAAAAUCAUACUUAAUAUAGUCUUAUCUUGCCAGGGAAAAAAAGCCAUCUGUGUGGCAUCCCACAACCCAGCACCAUGCAGGUUCUCCAGCUCUCCUUGCAGUGACAACUCUCACCAAAGUGUGCAGCCAAUGGGCUUAAAAAGAGUCACACACAGGAAGUGACCAGAAUGCUUAGGGACUUUGUCAAAGGACAGUUGCCAGGGUGCUGUUAG
RNAcentral lists this long non-coding RNA (441 nucleotides) under Bos taurus (domestic cattle). RNAcentral describes it as "long non-coding RNA NONBTAT016235". The record is from RNAcentral. Lineage: Eukaryota; Metazoa; Chordata; Mammalia; Artiodactyla; Bovidae.